UACGUAGGGACAAGCGUUGUUCGGAUUUACUGGGCGUAAAGGGCGCGUAGGCGGCGUGACAAGUCACUUGUGAAAUCUCCGGGCUUAACUCGGAACGGUCAAGUGAUACUGUCGUGCUAGAGUGCAGAAGGGGCAAUCGGAAUUCUCGGUGUAGCGGUGAAAUGCGUAGAUAUCAAGAGGAACACCUGAGGUGAAGACGGGUUGCUGGGCUGACACUGACGCUGAGGCGCGAAAGCUAGGGGAGCAAACGGG
RNAcentral lists this ribosomal RNA (252 nucleotides) under uncultured bacterium. Its description in RNAcentral is "partial 16S ribosomal RNA". It matches the Rfam family "Bacterial small subunit ribosomal RNA", at positions 524 to 776 of the family's 1533-position model. The record is from RNAcentral.